Molecule: ribosomal RNA, 243 nt
Filed under: uncultured bacterium
Lineage: Bacteria
Description: partial 16S ribosomal RNA
Rfam family: Bacterial small subunit ribosomal RNA
Source: RNAcentral
AAUCCUGGCUCAGGAUGAACGCUAGCUACAGGCUUAACACAUGCAAGUCGAGGGGAAACGAUAUUGGAAGCUUGCUUCCGAUAGGCGUCGACCGGCGCACGGGUGAGUAACGCGUAUCCAACCUGCCCACCACUUGGGGAUAACCUUGCGAAAGUAAGACUAAUACCCAAUGAUAUCUCUAGAAGACAUUCCUGAAAGAGAUUAAAGAUUUAAUCGGUGAUGGAUGGGGAUGCGUCUGAUUAG